Molecule: long non-coding RNA, 963 nt
Organism: Magnolia sinica
Lineage: Eukaryota; Viridiplantae; Streptophyta; Magnoliopsida; Magnoliales; Magnoliaceae
Exons: 3
Source: RefSeq, a predicted model, not a curated record
AGCUUCAGAUUUGAUGUUGGUGUUCCAUCCUUUAGUAGGGAAUGUUCUUUUGGGACAUUACAAUGAUAUGCCAAUGCCUUAAAGACCACUAUGACAAUGUUCCCUUGAGCUUCAGCUUCAAGAAUGAUUGCCUCGGAGAAUCGGAUGCUGGAAAUUAAUUCAAAUGGAUGUUGUUUGAAUUGCUUGUCCUAACAGGUGCACAAGUUGGGAUGGAUUGGAAUUCUAUCUUGAGAAAACGUCAUAAUUUCAGGUAGUUAUUAUUGUAAUGGAAAGUUAAAAAAUUAAAAGAGAGAGAUAAUGAAUUCAUGAAAAGAAAUGUUCUCUAUCAUUAGGGCUGCUUUCGCCAGGUUUGAUGCAGAAAUCGCCGCCAACUUCACAGAAAGACAAAGAGCAUCAGUGGUCAUAGAUUGCAACCUGGAUUUAAACAAGGUUAGAGGUGCCGUCAACAAUGUUAACAGAAUCCUCCAGGUCAGAUUGUUGAUUGGACCUGAUUUUAUUUAAAUGAUCUUAAUAAUCCAAUUUAUUUAAAUGAGCAGACCCGGAUGUGCGUCGGAGCUAUCCGGAUGUUGAGCGGGGGUCCCUGGAAGGUGGGAACCGCUGUUAUGACAAUGAUGAAAAUGUCCAUUUUCUAUGGACAACAUUGGAGUGGCCUAACCAUUUGGACAGACUGUGUUUAUAUCUGUAUUUGCUCGAAAUUGAUGGAGCAGACCCGGAUGUGCGUCGGAGCUAUCCGGAUGUUGAGCGGGGGUCCCUUGAAGGUGGGAACUGCUGUUAUGACCAUGAUGAAGCUGUCCAUUUCCUAUUGACAGUAGUGGAGUGGCCUGACUAUUUGGACAGGCCGUGUUUAUAUCUGUAUUUGCAGGGACCACACCCUUAACCUAUAACCUAAACCUAUUCUCAAAUCCCAAAACCUAUAACUACAACCUAAACCUUAACCUAAACCUAUAACCUAUAACCUAAACC